GAUGAAGAACGUAGCGAAAUGCGAUACGUAAUGUGAAUUGCAGAAUUCAGUGAAUCAUCGAAUCUUUGAACGCAUAUUGCGCUCUCUGGUAUUCCGGAGAGCAUGCUUGUUUGAGUAUCAGUAAACGCCUCAACUUCCAUAUCUUUUUUGAAAUGGGAGUUGGACUUGAGUGAUCCCAACGCUUUUCCUCACCGAAAAGUGGCGGGUUACUUGAAAUGCAGGUGCAGCUGGACUUUUCUCUGAGCUAUAAGCAUAUCUAUUUAGUCUGCCUAAAAAACAGAUUAUUACCUUUGCUGCAGCUAACAUAAAGGAGAUUAGUUCUUGUGCUGACUGAUGCAGGAUUCACAAAGACAGGCUUCGGCCGACUUUGUAAACUCGAUCUCAAAUCAAGUAAGACUACCCGCUGAACUUAAGCAUAUCAAUAAGCGGAGGA
This 433-nucleotide unclassified non-coding RNA is filed under the name soil metagenome. RNAcentral describes it as "partial contains 5.8S ribosomal RNA, internal transcribed spacer 2, and large subunit ribosomal RNA". The stretch from base 1 to 120 matches the Rfam family "5.8S ribosomal RNA", at positions 35 to 154 of the family's 154-position model. The record is from RNAcentral.